RNAcentral lists this ribosomal RNA (301 nucleotides) under uncultured bacterium. RNAcentral's name for it is "partial 16S ribosomal RNA". It matches the Rfam family "Bacterial small subunit ribosomal RNA", at positions 509 to 807 of the family's 1533-position model. The record is from RNAcentral.
CAGCCGCCGCGGUAAUACGUAGGUGGCAAGCGUUGUCCGGAAUUAUUGGGCGUAAAGGGCUCGCAGGCGGUUUCUUAAGUCUGAUGUGAAAGCCCCCGGCUCAACCGGGGAGGGUCAUUGGAAACUGGGAAACUUGAGUGCAGAAGAGGAGAGUGGAAUUCCACGUGUAGCGGUGGAAUGCGUAGAGAUGUGGAGGAACACCAGUGGCGAAGGCGACUCUCUGGUCUGUAACUGACGCUGAGGAGCGAAAGCGUGGGGAGCGAACAGGAUUAGAUACCCGCGUAGUCCCUGUCUCUUAUAC